RNAcentral lists this long non-coding RNA (726 nucleotides) under Cottoperca gobio. Its description in RNAcentral is "lncRNA (ENSCGOG00000004713.1)". The record is from RNAcentral. Lineage: Eukaryota; Metazoa; Chordata; Actinopteri; Perciformes; Bovichtidae.
GGAGUUUGGCAUGACUCUUGAUAGAGAAUCAUUCCUUUACAUAUCUUGUCAACAAAAUAAACUACUAAAGGUACCGGUAUAUGUAUGUAAAUACGGUAUGUCAUCUAUCUAAUCAUGUUGGCCAACAUUUAAAAACUAUCUUAGUUUUUUGCCAUAACUUCAGUACAACAUUUGGGAAAACUGUGUUAUACAUUACUGAAACUGUGUCCGUAUAAAGUUUUGGAACAUUCUAAACAUUGUGUGUUUCUCCUGCUGUUGUGCUCCCAGAUGGUCGUGUGGUGAAGAGGCAGAAGCAGGGAGAUGGUCAGAGGCUGCAGGAGGCAACGAUGCAGCUGCUGGAGCAGCAGCAGAGCCUCUGCAGUCUGCUCAGGGAGGUGGGGAGUCCCGAUCCAUCCAACAUUUUCCACACUCAGAAUGGAGAGCAGAAACAAGCAGAGUCUGAAGGCAUCUCAUCUGCCAUAGCAGGUUCCCUACUGGUGUGUGAGCUGAGGCGUCAGGCCUCGCAGCUGGGUGUCCCCAUGCCAGUGCUGUCCGUGAAGAUGAUGCUGGAGAGACUGAUGGAGAUCACUGGAACUGAGGAAGUGAGGCAGGAAGAGGACAAGAGGAGAGAACUGCUCACUUCAUCUCAGCGAGUGAGUAUCUGACAGUAACAUUUGAUUUUAUACACUGUGUACAUUUUAUACACUGAGGUGCACGUACCACUGGUGGCAUGCAAGAGCCGGGCUG